UACGUAGGGUGCGAGCGUUGUCCGGAAUUACUGGGCGUAAAGAGCUCGUAGGUGGUUUGUCGCGUUGUCCGUGAAAACUCACAACUCAAUUGUGGGCGUGCGGGCGAUACGGGCAGACUGGAGUACUGCAGGGGAGACUGGAAUUCCUGGUGUAGCGGUGAAAUGCGCAGAUAUCAGGAGGAACACCGGUGGCGAAGGCGGUUCUCUGGGCCUUACCUGACGCUGAGGAGCGAAAGCGUGGGGAGCGAACAGG
RNAcentral lists this ribosomal RNA (253 nucleotides) under uncultured bacterium. Its description in RNAcentral is "partial 16S ribosomal RNA". It matches the Rfam family "Bacterial small subunit ribosomal RNA", at positions 524 to 776 of the family's 1533-position model. The record is from RNAcentral.